Molecule: regulatory RNA element, 91 nt
Organism: Streptomyces silvensis
Lineage: Bacteria; Bacillati; Actinomycetota; Actinomycetes; Kitasatosporales; Streptomycetaceae
Rfam family: ZMP/ZTP riboswitch aptamer (pfl RNA motif)
About the family: Previously known as pfl RNA. ZMP is also known as AICAR.
Source: Rfam
AGACAGCACGGCGACUGGCGCACAGGGAAUCGACCCUGAGGGAGCCGUGCGAGGCAACACCUUCGAGGUGCCGCCCGCCUGGGCACCCCGG